AUUGAACGCUGGCGGCAUGCCUUACACAUGCAAGUCGAACGGCAGCACGGGAGCAAUCCUGGUGGCGAGUGGCGAACGGGUGAGUAAAGUAUCGGAACGUGCCCAGUCGUGGGGGAUAACGUAGCGAAAGUUACGCUAAUACCGCAUACGAUCUAUGGAUGAAAACGGGGGAUCGCAAGACCCCGCGCGAUUGGAGCGGCCGAUAGCAGAUUAGGUAGUUGGGGGGGUAAAGGCUCACCAAGCCGACGAUCUGUAGCUGGUCGUAGAGGACGACCAGGCACACUGGGACUGAGACACGGCCCAGACUCCUAAGGGGGGCAGCAGUGGGGAAUUUUGGACAAUGGGCGAAAGCCUGAUCCAGCCAUGCCGCGUGAAGGAUGAAGGCCUUCGGGUUGUAAACUGCUUUUGUACGGAACGAAAAGGUUUGGCCUAAUAAGCUGAGCUCAUGACGGUACCGUAAGAAUAAGCACCGGCUAACUACGUGCCAGCCGCCGCAGUAA
This 500-nucleotide ribosomal RNA is filed under the name uncultured bacterium. RNAcentral's name for it is "partial 16S ribosomal RNA". It matches the Rfam family "Bacterial small subunit ribosomal RNA", at positions 29 to 523 of the family's 1533-position model. The record is from RNAcentral.